Molecule: long non-coding RNA, 479 nt
Organism: Mesocricetus auratus (golden hamster)
Lineage: Eukaryota; Metazoa; Chordata; Mammalia; Rodentia; Cricetidae
Exons: 2
Source: RefSeq, a predicted model, not a curated record
GGAUGUUAAAAAGACAUUCUUGAUGUCCGGUGGUGGAGCUAAUGGAUUUUCUGCGAACCUGGAAAGAUGGUUGUUGUGUUAGCCUUUGGGCCUGACUGGGUUUGGCCUGCUCUUCUCUCUGUAGUUUUGGAAACCCUGUCUGUGUGGAUACACAUCCCAGGAAGCAGAGACCACUGGGUGAAACGAGGAUGUAUAUUAGAGCAAGAAGCAUCAAAGAAUGCAUAUCUCCAGAAUUGUGUGGGUUUCUUUUUAACUGGAAUUUAUAAUUGCCCCUAAUUAUAGGACAUAUUUUACAUGUUCCCUUUGAGAGGCUGAGAAGGGGUGGAGUCCUGUCCACUCCAGUCACAAGAGCUAUAACCUUGACAUUUUAAUUAGAUGUUAUUUUGAAAUAUGUAAAAGUGAUUUAAUGCUCACCAAAACAUAUCAUUGAUUGUGCAGUUUGCCCAAGAAAAUAAAAUGAUACACAAUUUGAAAAAUAA